AAGUCCUACGGGGGGCAGCAGUGAGGAAUAUUGGUCAAUGGCCGGAAGGCUGAACCAGCCAAGCCGCGUGAAGGACGAAGGUGCCAAGCAUUGUAAACUUCUUUUGUCAAGGGACAAAAUCAGGCUCGAGAGCCUGACCGAGGGUACUUGAAGAAAAAGCAUCGGCUAACUCCGUGCCAGCAGCCGCGGUAAUACGGAGGAUGCGAGCGUUAUCCGGAUUUAUUGGGUUUAAAGGGUGCGUAGCCGGACUGUUAUGUCAGCGGUAAAUCCCCGGGCCUCAACCCCGUCGAGCCGUU
Molecule: ribosomal RNA, 296 nt
Filed under: uncultured bacterium
Lineage: Bacteria
Description: partial 16S ribosomal RNA
Rfam family: Bacterial small subunit ribosomal RNA
Source: RNAcentral